GAAAGCAUGGGGAGCGAACAGGAUUAGAUACCCUGGUAGUCCAUGCCGUAAACGUUGGGCACUAGGUGUGGGGGACAUUCCACGUUUUCCGCGCCGUAGCUAACGCAUUAAGUGCCCCGCCUGGGGAGUACGGCCGCAAGGCUAAAACUCAAAGGAAUUGACGGGGGCCCGCACAAGCGGCGGAGCAUGCGGAUUAAUUCGAUGCAACGCGAAGAACCUUACCAAGGCUUGACAUGAACCGGAAUGAUGCAGAGAUGUGUCAGCCACUUGUGGCCGGUUUACAGGUGGUGCAUGGUUGUCGUCAGCUCGUGUCGUGAGAUGUUGGGUUAAGUCCCGCAACGAGCGCAACCCUCGUUCCAUGUUGCCAGCGGGUUAUGCCGGGGACUCAUGGGAGACUGCCGGGGUCAACUCGGAGGAAGGUGGGGACGACGUCAAAUCAUCAUGCCCCUUAUGUCUUGGGCUUCACGCGUGCUACAAUGGCCGGUACAAAGGGUUGCGAUGCUGUGAGGUGGAGCUAAUCCCAAAAAGCCGGUCUCAGUUCGGAUUGAGGUCUGCAACUCGACCUCAUGAAGUUGGAGUCGCUAGUAAUCGCAGAUCAGCAA
RNAcentral lists this ribosomal RNA (602 nucleotides) under Arthrobacter echini. RNAcentral describes it as "bacterial SSU rRNA". It matches the Rfam family "Bacterial small subunit ribosomal RNA", at positions 755 to 1355 of the family's 1533-position model. The record is from RNAcentral. Lineage: Bacteria; Bacillati; Actinomycetota; Actinomycetes; Micrococcales; Micrococcaceae.